This 497-nucleotide ribosomal RNA is filed under the name uncultured bacterium. RNAcentral's name for it is "partial 16S ribosomal RNA". It matches the Rfam family "Bacterial small subunit ribosomal RNA", at positions 28 to 507 of the family's 1533-position model. The record is from RNAcentral.
GAUGAACGCUGGCGGCGUGCCUAAUACAUGCAAGUCGAGCGAACAGAUGAGGAGCUUGCUCCUCUGACGUUAGCGGCGGACGGGUGAGUAACACGUGGAUAACCUACCUAUAAGACUGGGAUAACUGCGGGAAACCGGAGCUAAUACCGGAUAAUAUAUUGAACCGCAUGGUUCAAUAGUGAAAGACGGUUUUGCUGUCACUUAUAGAUGGAUCCGCGCCGCAUUAGCUAGUUGGUAAGGUAACGGCUUACCAAGGCACCGAUGCGUAGCCGACCUGAGAGGGUGAUCGGCGACACUGGAACUGAGACACGGUCCAGACUCCUACGGGAGGCAGCAGUAGGGAAUCGUACGCAAUGGGCGAAAGCCUGACGGAGCAACGCCGCGUGAGUGAUGAAGGUCUUCGGAUCGUAAAACUCUGUUAUUAGGGAAGAACAAAUGUGUAAGUAAAUAUGCACGUCUUGACGGUACCUAAUCAGGAAGCCACGGCUAACUACGUG